RNAcentral lists this ribosomal RNA (253 nucleotides) under uncultured bacterium. RNAcentral's name for it is "partial 16S ribosomal RNA". It matches the Rfam family "Bacterial small subunit ribosomal RNA", at positions 524 to 776 of the family's 1533-position model. The record is from RNAcentral.
UACGGGGGGGGUAAGCGUUGUUCGGAAUUACUGGGCGUAAAGGGCUCGUAGGCGGCCAACUAAGUCAUACGUGAAAUCCCUCAGCUUAACUGGGGAACUGCGUGUGAUACUGGCAGGCUCGAGGUCGGUAGGGGUGAGCGGAACUCCAGGUGGAGCGGUGAAAUGCGUAGAUAUCUGGAGGAACACCGGUGGCGAAAGCGGCUCACUGGACCGAAUCUGACACUGAGGUGCGAAAGCUAGGGUAGCAAACGGG